AUGUUGGCCGGGCGACGGUUGCCCCGGUUUAAGCGUGUAGGUGUGUGUUCCAGGUAAAUCCGGUUCACUUUAACACUGAGGCGUGAUGACGAGGCACUACGGUGCUGAAGUAACAAAUGCCCUGCUUCCAGGAAAAGCCUCUAAGCAUCAGGUAACAUCAAAUCGUACCCCAAACCGACACAGGUGGUCAGGUAGAGAAUACCAAGGCGCUUGAGAGAACUCGGGUGAAGGAACUAGGCAAAAUGGUGCCGUAACUUCGGGAGAAGGCACGCUGACACGUAGGUGAAGUGAUUUACUCAUGGAGCUGAAGUCAGUCGAAGAUACCAGCUGGCUGCAACUGUUUAUUAAAAACACAGCACUGUGCAAACACGAAAGUGGACGUAUACGGUGUGACGCCUGCCCGG
RNAcentral lists this ribosomal RNA (404 nucleotides) under Salmonella enterica subsp. enterica serovar Dublin. Its description in RNAcentral is "bacterial LSU rRNA". It matches the Rfam family "Bacterial large subunit ribosomal RNA", at positions 1484 to 1866 of the family's 2925-position model. The record is from RNAcentral. Lineage: Bacteria; Pseudomonadati; Pseudomonadota; Gammaproteobacteria; Enterobacterales; Enterobacteriaceae.